AUACGGAGGAUCCGAGCGUUAUCCGGAUUUAUUGGGUUUAAAGGGAGCGUAGGCGGGAGAUCAAGUCAGCUGUGAAAUGUAGACGCUCAACGUCUGCAAUGCAGUUGAAACUGGUUUUCUUGAGUGCGCAAGGGGCAGGCGGAAUUUGUCGUGGAGUGGUGAAAUGCUUAGAUAUGACGAAGAACUCCGCUCGCGAAGGCGGCUUGCCGGGCCGCAACUGACGCUGAAGCUCGAAGGUGCGGGUAUCGAACAGGAUUAGAUACCCUGGUAGUCCGCACAGUAAACGAUGGAUACUCGCUGUCGGCGAUAUACGGUCGGUGGCCAAGCGAAAGCGUUAAGUAUCCCACCUGGGGAGUACGCCGGCAACGGUGAAACUUAAAGGAAUUGGCGGGG
RNAcentral lists this ribosomal RNA (393 nucleotides) under uncultured bacterium. Its description in RNAcentral is "partial 16S ribosomal RNA". It matches the Rfam family "Bacterial small subunit ribosomal RNA", at positions 523 to 918 of the family's 1533-position model. The record is from RNAcentral.